RNAcentral lists this ribosomal RNA (460 nucleotides) under uncultured bacterium. RNAcentral's name for it is "partial 16S ribosomal RNA". It matches the Rfam family "Bacterial small subunit ribosomal RNA", at positions 338 to 795 of the family's 1533-position model. The record is from RNAcentral.
CCUACGGGAGGCAGCAGUGAGGAAUAUUGGUCAAUGGACGAGAGUCUGAUCCAGCCAAGUAGCGUGAAGGAUGACUGCCCUAUGGGUUGUAAACUUCUUUUAUAUGGGAAUAAAUUGUUCCACGUGUGGGCUUUUGUAUGUACCAUAUGAAUAAGGAUCGGCUAACUCCGUGCCAGCAGCCGCGGUAAUACGGAGGGUCCGAGCGUUAUCCGGAUUGAUUUGGUGUAAAGGGAGCGUAGGUGGAUUGUUAAGUCAGUUGUGAAAGUUUGGGGAUCAACCGUAAAAUUGCAGUUGAUACUGGUAGGCUAGAGUACAGUAGAGGGGGGCGGAAUUCGAGGUGUAGCGGUGAAAUGCUUAGAGAUGACGAAGAACUCCGAUGGCGAAGGCAGCUCACUGGACUGCAACUGACGCUGAGGCGCGAAAGUGUGGGGAUCAAACAGGAUUAGAUACCCUUGUAGUC